UUUUUUUUUUUGUUUUUUUGUUUUUUUUUUUUUAGCGCAUGCUCUGAUCAUCAAUAAGUCAAACUCCAAUGGGAAAGAUACAAGAAAUGAAUAAACUCUCUCAACUCACUGAUGAAUACAUGAACCCCAACCCAUGAGACAACCUCUCAAACUAAAAUCUCCGAAUCAAUGCCAAAUGAUGGGAUGAAUGGAGUGAUAUGACUGCCCUCUUUGCACUAAGAUGUGAAGAAUCAUCAGCCCAAGGAAAAGAAGAGAUAAAAUGAAGCAAAUAAUGAUAAAAGCAAGAAAGAGAAUGGAAAUGUGAUGAUAGCAAAAUAGAACAAACGGGGUGAUAAGGAGAUGAUGACAAGAAUGAGAAGAU
This 361-nucleotide long non-coding RNA is filed under the name Vitis vinifera (wine grape). RNAcentral's name for it is "long non-coding RNA (VVIN_LNC003849)". The record is from RNAcentral. Lineage: Eukaryota; Viridiplantae; Streptophyta; Magnoliopsida; Vitales; Vitaceae.